Molecule: ribosomal RNA, 380 nt
Filed under: uncultured organism
Description: partial 16S ribosomal RNA
Rfam family: Bacterial small subunit ribosomal RNA
Source: RNAcentral
GUAGGUGGCAAGCGUUGUCCGGAAUUAUUGGGCGUAAAGCGCGCGCAGGCGGUUCUUUAAGUCUGAUGUGAAAGCCCACGGCUCAACCGUGGAGGGUCAUUGGAAACUGGAGAACUUGAGUACAGAAGAGGAAAGCGGAAUUCCACGUGUAGCGGUGAAAUGCGUAGAGAUGUGGAGGAACACCAGUGGCGAAGGCGGCUUUCUGGUCUGUAACUGACGCUGAGGCGCGAAAGCGUGGGGAGCAAACAGGGAUUAGAUACCCUGGUAGUCCACGCCGUAAACGAUGAGUGCUAAGUGUUAGGGGGGGUUUUCCCGCCCCCCUUAGUGCUGCAGCUAACGCAUUAAGCACUCCGCCGUGGGGAGUACCGGCCGCAAGGCUG